This 348-nucleotide long non-coding RNA is filed under the name Pan troglodytes (chimpanzee). Its description in RNAcentral is "long non-coding RNA NONPTRT003017". The record is from RNAcentral. Lineage: Eukaryota; Metazoa; Chordata; Mammalia; Primates; Hominidae.
UCCAGACAAAGCUGAAGAAGCCAGCAACCUGAAAACACCAAUGGGCACAGACAGAAGAACCUGCUCGCUCCAGCCAGAGACGUAUGAGGACUUGUAGGUCUGAAGAUUUGAGUGGAUAAAAUUCCAUCAUAAAAAUAAGAUGAAAAAGGGAGCUUCAGGAAAGCUGUCUUCUCUAGGUCACAUAAAGCUGGACUCAAAACUUUUUGCCUCUACAAUUUUUCUUCACAAUACUGGGAUGACACCAAAAGGACUUAGGGAAAAGAAAAGGGCACCCACCCACCACAGAUAGCCAUGAGCUUUACAGUGCCCAUCUCAUGCCUUCAAAAGAAUCACUUAUUUCAUCAGGCA